Molecule: transfer RNA, 75 nt
Filed under: Clostridium saccharobutylicum
Lineage: Bacteria; Bacillati; Bacillota; Clostridia; Eubacteriales; Clostridiaceae
Description: tRNA-Thr
Rfam family: tRNA
About the family: Transfer RNA (tRNA) molecules are approximately 80 nucleotides in length.
Source: RNAcentral
GCUGGCAUGCUUCAACGGUAGAGCAGGUGACUUGUAAUCAGCAGGUUGUAGGUUCGAUUCCUAUGCCCAGCUCCA